GCUGCUCUAAGGUCUCCCACAGCCUUCUCUUCUCCAGGCUGAACAACCCCAACCACUUAUGGGAGGAGCUCCUGCCCUCAGAUCAUCCUCGCGGUCUCUUCUAGACUCGCUCCAACAGCUCCAGGUCCAUGGAUCGAGCCCGUGACCCCAGGUUUUUGUCGUGUCAGUGUCUUCCGAGACGUUCUUCUGAGAGACCAAAGAUUUUUGGUCUGCAACAACGUCCCAGAUGCUGAAGUCUGCGUGGUCCAACUGCUCCCAUGGUGACAACGAUGUCGUCAAAGCGAAAGUCACCUCUGAACAGAUCGAACACCUGCACCGGCGAUUCAAGCAGCUGAGCCGGGACCAGCUGACGAUCCGCAAGGAGAAUUUUGACAGUAUCCCCGAUCUGGAGUUCAACCCAAUUAGAGGGAAAAUCGUCCAUGCCUUUUUUGACAAGCGACCCAUCGAGAUGAACAUGGAUGAGGAGCAGCUCGAUCGCUUCCGGAAAGAGAAACUCAAAUUCCUCUUCCACAUGUAUGACUCGGACUGUGAUGGGAAGAUCACGCUGCAGGAGUACAGAAAUGUGGUGGAGGAGCUGCUGUCAGGGAACCCUCACCUGGAGAAGGAUUCCGCACGGUCCAUCGCUGAUGGGGCCAUGAUGGAGGCAGCCAACAUCUGUGUGGGACACAUGGGGCCGGACCAGGUGUAUGAGGGCAUCACCUUCGAAGACUUCCUUAAGAUGUGGCAGGGGAUCGACAUCGAAACCAAGAUGCACGUCCGCUUCCUCAACAUGGAGACCAUCGCACACUGCUACUGACCUCUGCUCCCUCCUGGGAGGAAGAGGAGAAGGAGGAAGAGGAGGACUCUGCAGCAGCUCCACGUUCUUGGCACCAAGCACUUUGUACCCGCCUGCGCGUCCAUCCCAUGGUGGGGCUGCCUUCUGCUCUCUAGAAACAUAAGAGGCUUUUAUCUGUAAUAAAAGCAGGACAAUGUUGCGACGUACCACCCAUCACUUCUCACUGAAGUCAGAGCUCUGCAGUCUGGCAGCAGCUGGAGCCUGCGCUACAGGGACAACUUCCCCCUUUGAUCGUAUAUUCUCUUGGAAGAAUAGUAGGGAAGAACGUGAUGUCCAUGGAUUCUUCUCCCAAAGACAAUGAUUCACUUCAUUUUUGCUAAUCAUCACUGUCAUCAACAAUAGGAACCAGAAGUCAUCCCUGAGGCUCUUCACCUCAAACUGCUUCCUCCUUUGAUGCCUUUUGAUUCUUUAGCUAUCCCUGACUACCCAACCCGUCUGAUGGCCACCAGCCUGGGGCACUAAACCACGCUCUCACGCAGUGUGAACCUUCGCCUUCAGUCUAACCUGUGUAGUAAAUCCAACACUGGUCUACCAUGUCCUAAUGGCAGCUCUUCAACUGAAACCCCUGCCAUCAGCCCUGGGCACCACUCAGCGCAAAAGAAAUGUCCCCUUCUCCAGUGAUAACCUUGGCCUGUGAUACACCAGGGAUGUGCCGAGACAAGAGUCACAGACUGCUUUGGGUUGGAAGGGACCUCUAAAGGUCCACCUAGUCCAACCCCUCUGCGGUGAGCAGGGACACCUUCCACUCAGUCAGGUUGCUCAGAGCCUCAUCCAACCUCACCUUGAAUGUUUCCAGGGAUGGGGCAACCACCACCUCUCUGGGCAACCUGUGCCAGUGUUUCACCACCCUCACAGUAAAGCAUUUCUUCCUUACAGCUAGGCUGAACGAACCCUCUUUCAGUUCAAAUCCAUUAUCCCUUGUUCGAUCACAACAGCCCACCUUUGCCCCUACCCACCACAAACUGGCAGCACUACCACGUCCCCAGAUGGGAAAUCCAAAAGUGGCAUCUACCUCUGGUAAAGAUGGGACGGUGACUCCAGUCUUACUCUUGAAGUUAUUAUGGAAGAGGCUCCCUUUAGAUGUCACCUAACCCUGGUGAAGACGUGAAUGGUCAUGGCUGCUUUUGCCACACUCCAGCACCCACUUCAGUGCAGUGUUAAUGACUACCCAGCAAAGUAGGACAACAUCCCUUUUCCUAGACAAAAAAUAAACUCUCAACACAGAUACUCUCCAGCAGCCCGAGUGCCCUCAUUUGCAUUGUGAAUGCUGGUUAACACGCACAAUCUUCUGCUGUGGUACAACCUUCCUAAAUGAAUUCCAGUGAUAGGAAAAACAGACCAAAAGGACCACUCUCCAACCCAGCCAGAGCUGAAGAGCUGCAUCUGGACCAUGAACCAACGGAACAGUGGUGGUGGGGACAGAGAACUUCCUUCUCCACUGGAGUUUAUGCAAGCCUUCUUCUAUCUGGAUGGGUUGGUUUGGUCCCCAAUGAAGUGAGGACUUGUAGAUCUCCUCUGCACAAGAAAACGAACCCCUCUACCGAUGCAGGUGCUACAAAGCAUCUAUUUUGGAGCAGCUCAGUCAAGGAGCAAUACAGAGGCAGCCUCGCUGCAGGCAGUGCCAAAGGAGAGGACAAAUGCGGAGGUGGACUCCAGGAAAAGGGCUCAACACACAAGACAAACUUAUCUGCUACUUGCAGCAGGGAGAUGAAGAAAGAACAAAGCUGCCCUGAGAUAAUGAGGCAAGAUAACGAAAGUCGGAACAAGCCAAGGGUGUACGAAGCGAGACAGGGCAGCAGGUCACAGCAGGGAGGGGAAGAGAACAAUGACUGUGGAAGCUCUCUGUUCAGCCACAUCAGAAGACGCAGGGCUGGAGCAAC
RNA transcript from Cuculus canorus (common cuckoo), 2715 nucleotides. It is a transcript of the gene named tescalcin, with no coding region annotated. The transcript is spliced from 9 exons. Lineage: Eukaryota; Metazoa; Chordata; Aves; Cuculiformes; Cuculidae. The record is from RefSeq and is a predicted model, not a curated record.